GACGAGGGGUCCUAGCGUUGUUCGGAAUCACUGGGCGUAAAGCGUAUGUAGGCGGGCUUCUAAGUCGGGGGUGAAAUCCCAUGGCUCAACCAUGGAAUUGCAUUCGAAACUGGAAGUCUUGAGUGUGGGAGAGAUUGGUAGAAUACCUGGUGUAGUGGUGAAAUACGUAGAUAUCAGGUGGAAUACCGGUGGCGAAGGCGGCCAAUUGGCCCAACACUGACGCUGAGAUACGAAAGCGUGGGGAUCAAACAGG
This 253-nucleotide ribosomal RNA is filed under the name uncultured bacterium. RNAcentral describes it as "partial 16S ribosomal RNA". It matches the Rfam family "Bacterial small subunit ribosomal RNA", at positions 524 to 776 of the family's 1533-position model. The record is from RNAcentral.